UUCUACACUUUUUUUUUUUUGGGUAGUUCUUCGUAUAAAUUUGUUCACUUAAUUACCAAUGGAAUCCGGUCACACUCACUCCUCAGAUCCAUACAGAUCCGGUCACCCUCACUCGUUAGAUACAUCCAGAUCUGGUCUCCCACACCCACCCUCUGUUUUCCAUUCGAUUCCGGCUCUAAAUGAUUUCGGCAAAGCUGUUUUCUCCCCAAUCUCAACCCCAUGAGUUUUUGAUGCGGAAAUAUUAAGAAAUCAUAAUGGUGAUAGUGAUUACAUUAAAAAAAAAUGGGUGAUGAAGAUCGAGAGACUCGGUGGCAUAUUAUGGUAAUUGUAGAUCGUGGCAGGUACAAUGACAUUAAUUGUUUACCGUAUAAAAAACUUAUGGGGUUGAGAUUGAGGAGGUAACAACUUAGUCAAAAUCCCUUUAGAGUUCAUUGUAGCCUGCUUGAUUCUACUUGCAUAAUCAUGUUGUAAGCACGGAAUCAUGUAUUAUUUGCUAUUAUUUUGUCAAUUUGAGGCUUACUUUUGGUUGGUACACUAUUGAUAUCUGUCGUGAGACGUUAAUUGUUGUUGUUAAAUAUUGAAUUUCUUGCUUUUGUUCAGUUGAUUUUACGUGCUAGAUUGAGUUACCUU
This is a long non-coding RNA of Erythranthe guttata (spotted monkey flower), 630 nucleotides long. RefSeq lists it as uncharacterized. NCBI's taxonomy places the organism in Eukaryota, Viridiplantae, Streptophyta, Magnoliopsida, Lamiales, Phrymaceae. The record is from RefSeq and is a predicted model, not a curated record.